Molecule: unclassified non-coding RNA, 320 nt
Filed under: Hevea brasiliensis (rubber tree)
Lineage: Eukaryota; Viridiplantae; Streptophyta; Magnoliopsida; Malpighiales; Euphorbiaceae
Source: RNAcentral
UUAUCAAGGUUUACAUUUACAUCAAAUGUGGAACUAUUAGUAUGGAAAGCAAUAUCGAAUUUGGAUGGCUAGUUGGCUAGAGCAGGUUCAGGACUUGUGGAUGACUUGGAAAAGCUUCCAUAUGUUUGUGUUGCAUUGGAUCAAUUACAACAAAGGCAAAAGUGUUGGACUGGGCAACCAAUGUGUGACAAUGGUAGAAAUGAUAAAUGUUCCAACAAUAGGAAACAAUCUUGAGAGCUUUUGUUAACUGUAAAUGUGAAACUUUUUGAAGAAAUAAAAUGUAAAAAAAGGUGCAGGAAUCUCAAGGAGAAUGAGCAUGA